GGAGGACAGGAGAGGACUGGGCGUCAACAGCAAACCAGAGGGAGUCUGGAGAGACAGCGAGAGAGGAGUAGAGGAGGCCCCAGAGUUUGGCGACUUCUUCCGAUUUGAGCAGCUUGAACUCGCCGUCGUUGGACGUCCAGCAAAUCAGGUUUCGAACAGGAAGUGGUGAAGAGGGAGAGGCCAGAGCAACAGUCGUACAAACACGACCACAUUAAAGAAUUCUGCGUUCGUGCUCCUGAAUUCAUCCUCUCUCUUUAAUUUCCCCUUUUCCCUCUGCACUCACAAAAAACGUCAUUCCUAUGUGCCCUCCCACAAACUCUGCAAGCAUUUCCUGUUCUGUUGUACAUUAACGCACAGGCUCAAAAACAACAAAGAGCUAUAAGCCAGAAAGACUGACACGGGAAUGAAUCGCAAAUAAGCAACAUGUUCCAACAUCGACCGUGCCGCUGUCCUCUCUGGGACGGAGGUGUCCGCUCAAAGGUGGGCAAAUACACCCACUGGUGAACAGAGAUUACUAACCGGGUAAACAUGGAGUUUAUCCGCAAAACCCUGUUUAGGAACAUAGAUUAGAGUGACCAGAGAUAAGUGGGUUAAGGGGGGAAUUCUUAAAGGUAUAGGUCACCUAAAAAUGUAAAUUCAGUUCUGUCAUUUACACUACCAUUCAAAUGUU
This is a long non-coding RNA of Sinocyclocheilus grahami, 670 nucleotides long. RefSeq lists it as uncharacterized. The record is from RefSeq and is a predicted model, not a curated record. The transcript has 3 exons. NCBI's taxonomy places the organism in Eukaryota, Metazoa, Chordata, Actinopteri, Cypriniformes, Cyprinidae.